GGAUGAACGCUAGCUACAGGCUUAACACAUGCAAGUCGAGGGGCAGCGGGAUUGAAGCUUGCUUCAAUUGCCGGCGACCGGCGCACGGGUGAGUAACGCGUAUCCAACCUUCCGUACACUCAGGGAUAGCCUUCCGAAAGAAAGAUUAAUACCUGAUGGUAUGAUGAGAUUGCAUGAUAGCAUCAUUAAAGAUUUAUCGGUGUACGAUGGGGAUGCGUUCCAUUAGGUAGUAGGCGGGGUAACGGCCCACCUAGCCAACGAUGGAUAGGGGUUCUGAGAGGAAGGUCCCCCACAUUGGAACUGAGACACGGUCCAAACUCCUACGGGAGGCAGCAGUGAGGAAUAUUGGUCAAUGGACGAGAGUCUGAACCAGCCAAGUAGCGUGAAGGAUGAAGGUCCUACGGAUUGUAAACUUCUUUUAUAAGGGAAUAAACCCUCCCACGUGUGGGAGCUUGUAUGUACCUUAUGAAUAAGCAUCGGCUAACUCCGUGCCAGCAGCCGCGGUAAUACGGAGGAUGCGAGCGUUAUCCGGAUUUAUUGGGUUUAAAGGGAGCGCAGACGGGUCGUUAAGUCAGCUGUGAAAGUUUGGGGCUCAACCUUAAAAUUGCAGUUGAUACUGGCGUCCUUGAGUGCGGUUGAGGUGUGCGGAAUUCGUGGUGUAGCGGUGAAAUGCUUAGAUAUCACGAAGAACUCCGAUUGCGAAGGCAGCACACUAAUCCGUAACUGACGUUCAUGCUCGAAAGUGUGGGUAUCAAACAGGAUUAGAUACCCUGGUAGUCCACACGGUAAACGAUGGAUACUCGCUGUUGGCGAUAUACUGUCAGCGGCUUAGCGAAAGCGUUAAGUAUCCCACCUGGGGAGUACGCCGGCAACGGUGAAACUCAAAGGAAUUGACGGA
RNAcentral lists this ribosomal RNA (898 nucleotides) under uncultured bacterium. Its description in RNAcentral is "bacterial SSU rRNA". It matches the Rfam family "Bacterial small subunit ribosomal RNA", at positions 27 to 917 of the family's 1533-position model. The record is from RNAcentral.